Molecule: ribosomal RNA, 2895 nt
Filed under: Xanthomonas vasicola pv. arecae
Lineage: Bacteria; Pseudomonadati; Pseudomonadota; Gammaproteobacteria; Lysobacterales; Lysobacteraceae
Description: bacterial LSU rRNA
Rfam family: Bacterial large subunit ribosomal RNA
Source: RNAcentral
GUUAUAUGGUCAAGCGAAUAAGCGCACACGGUGGAUGCCUAGGCGGUCAGAGGCGAUGAAGGACGUGGUAGCCUGCGAAAAGUGUCGGGGAGCUGGCAACAAGCUUUGAUCCGGCAAUAUCCGAAUGGGGAAACCCACUGCUUCGGCAGUAUCCUGCAGUGAAUUCAUAGCUGCUGGAAGCGAACCCGGUGAACUGAAAUAUCUAAGUAACCGGAGGAAAAGAAAUCAACCGAGAUUCCCUAAGUAGUGACGAGCGAACGGGGAGCAGCCCUUAAGCUGGAAUGGCUUUAGAAAAACAAUCUGGAAAGAUUGGCCAUAGAAGGUGAUAGCCCUGUAUUUAAAAGGGCCACUCCAGUGAAGACGAGUAGGGCGGGGCACGUGAAACCCUGUCUGAAUAUGGGGGGACCAUCCUCCAAGGCUAAAUACUCCUGACCGACCGAUAGUGAACCAGUACCGUGAGGGAAAGGCGAAAAGAACCCCGGAGAGGGGAGUGAAAUAGAUCCUGAAACCGUGUGCGUACAAGCAGUAGGAGCUCGCAAGAGUGACUGCGUACCUUUUGUAUAAUGGGUCAGCGACUUACUGUUCGUGGCAAGCUUAACCGUAUAGGGGAGGCGAAGGGAAACCGAGUCUGAUAAGGGCGCAUAGUCGCGGGCAGUAGACCCGAAACCGGGUGAUCUAGUCAUGGCCAGGGUGAAGGUGCCGUAACAGGUACUGGAGGCCCGAACCCACGUCUGUUGCAAAAGACGGGGAUGAGCUGUGAUUAGGAGUGAAAAGCUAAUCGAACCCGGAGAUAGCUGGUUCUCCUCGAAAGCUAUUUAGGUAGCGCCUCGGACGAAUACUACUGGGGGUAGAGCACUGUUAUGGCUAGGGGGUCAUCGCGACUUACCAAACCAUUGCAAACUCCGAAUACCAGUACGUACUAUCCGGGAGACACACGGCGGGUGCUAACGUCCGUCGUGAAAAGGGAAACAACCCAGACCCACAGCUAAGGUCCCAAAUUCACUGCUAAGUGGAAAACGAUGUGGAAAGGCAUAGACAGCCAGGAGGUUGGCUUAGAAGCAGCCACCCUUUAAAGAAAGCGUAAUAGCUCACUGGUCGAGUCGGUCUGCGCGGAAGAUUUAACGGGGCUAAGCAGUGAACCGAAGCUUGGGGUGCAUAAAACUUGUUUUAUGCGCGGUAGAGGAGCGUUCCGUAAGCCUGCGAAGGUGGAUUGAGAAGUCUGCUGGAGGUAUCGGAAGUGCGAAUGCUGACAUGAGUAACGAUAAUGCGGGUGAAAAGCCCGCACGCCGAAAGCCCAAGGUUUCCUUGCGCAACGUUAAUCGACGCAGGGUUAGUCGGUCCCUAAGGCGAGGGCGAAAGCCGUAGUCGAUGGGAAGCAGGUUAAUAUUCCUGCACCUCGCGUGAGUGCGAUGGAGGGACGGAGAAGGUUAGGUGUACCGGGCGUUGGUUGUCCCGGGGAAAGGCGGUAGGUUUGGAUCUUUGGCAAAUCCGGGAUCCUUUAAGACCGAGCACCGAGACGAGCCUUUAUGGCGAAGUCACUGAUACCACGCUUCCAGGAAAAGCUCCUAAGCUUCAGCUCACGAAGACCGUACCGUAAACCGACACAGGUGGGUAGGAUGAGAAUUCUCAGGCGCUUGAGAGAACUCGGGUGAAGGAACUAGGCAACAUGGCACCGUAACUUCGGGAGAAGGUGCACCCUUUUUGGUGGCUCAUGCGAGCUAUAGCUGAAGAGGGUCGCAGAAACCAGGCCGCUGCGACUGUUUAUCAAAAACACAGCACUCUGCAAACACGAAAGUGGAUGUAUAGGGUGUGACGCCUGCCCGGUGCUGGAAGGUUAAUUGAUGGGGUCAGCCGCAAGGCGAAGCUCUUGAUCGAAGCCCCAGUAAACGGCGGCCGUAACUAUAACGGUCCUAAGGUAGCGAAAUUCCUUGUCGGGUAAGUUCCGACCUGCACGAAUGGCGUAACGACAGCGGCGCUGUCUCCACCCGAGACUCAGUGAAAUUGAAAUCGCUGUGAAGAUGCAGCGUUCCCGUGGCAAGACGGAAAGACCCCGUGAACCUUUACUAUAGCUUUACACUGAACGUUGAGUUCGUCUGUGUAGGAUAGGUGGGAGGCUAUGAAACUGUGGCGCUAGCUGCAGCGGAGCCAUCCUUGAAAUACCACCCUGUCGUGCUUGACGUUCUAACCUAGGUCCGUUAUCCGGAUCAGGGACCGUGUAUGGUGGGUAGUUUGACUGGGGCGGUCUCCUCCUAAAGAGUAACGGAGGAGCACGAAGGUACGCUCAGCGCGGUCGGACAUCGCGCACUGUGUGCAAAGGCAUAAGCGUGCUUGACUGCAAGAUCGACGGAUCAAGCAGGUACGAAAGUAGGUCUUAGUGAUCCGGUGGUUCUGUAUGGAAGGGCCAUCGCUCAACGGAUAAAAGGUACUCCGGGGAUAACAGGCUGAUACCGCCCAAGAGUUCAUAUCGACGGCGGUGUUUGGCACCUCGAUGUCGGCUCAUCACAUCCUGGGGCUGUAGUCGGUCCCAAGGGUAUGGCUGUUCGCCAUUUAAAGUGGUACGCGAGCUGGGUUCAGAACGUCGUGAGACAGUUCGGUCCCUAUCUGCCAUGGGCGUUGGAAGUUUGAGAGGGGCUGCUCCUAGUACGAGAGGACCGGAGUGGACGAACCUCUGGUGUUCCGGUUGUCACGCCAGUGGCAUUGCCGGGUAGCUAUGUUCGGAAGCGAUAACCGCUGAAAGCAUCUAAGCGGGAAGCGCGCCUCAAGAUGAGACUUCCCGGGGCACAAGCCCCCUAAAGGAACCAUGUAGACUACGUGGUUGAUAGGUCAGGUGUGUAAGUACAGCAAUGUAUUGAGCUAACUGAUACUAAUGAUCCGUGCGGCUUGACCAUAUAACCU